RNAcentral lists this transfer RNA (73 nucleotides) under Myotis davidii. It matches the Rfam family "tRNA". From Rfam's summary of the family: Transfer RNA (tRNA) molecules are approximately 80 nucleotides in length. Their secondary structure includes four short double-helical elements and three loops (D, anti-codon, and T loops). Lineage: Eukaryota; Metazoa; Chordata; Mammalia; Chiroptera; Vespertilionidae. The record is from Rfam by way of RNAcentral.
GCCAGUGUAGCUCAGUAGAUAGAGUGUCGGCCUGCGGACCGAAGGGUCCUGAGUUCGAUUCCCGUCACAGGCU